AUUUUAGUCUUAUUAGAGGAACCUGUUUAUUAAUUGAUAAUCCACGAUUAAUUUUACUUAUUUUCUUAAUUCAUAUAUCGCUGUCAUGAAUAUAUUAAAAAAUUAAUUUUCUUUAUUUAUUUAAAUAAUUUAUGUUAAGUCAAGAUGUGGUUUAUAAAUAAGAAUAUAAUGGGUUACAUUAAAUUUUAUUUUUGGAUAUUAAAUGAAAAUUAAAAUGAAAUUGGAUUUAAUAGUAAAUUUAUUUAUUUAAUUAAUAUGAAUAAAGAUCUAAAAUAUGUACAUAUUGCCCGUCAUUCUUAUUAAAAAUAAGACAAGUCGUAACAAAGUAAAUGUACUGGAAAGUGUAUUUAGAAAGAAAAUAAAUAUCUAAA
Molecule: ribosomal RNA, 371 nt
Filed under: Megoura lespedezae
Lineage: Eukaryota; Metazoa; Arthropoda; Insecta; Hemiptera; Aphididae
Description: partial 12S ribosomal RNA
Source: RNAcentral